Molecule: ribosomal RNA, 903 nt
Filed under: Chlorociboria clavula
Lineage: Eukaryota; Fungi; Ascomycota; Leotiomycetes; Helotiales; Chlorociboriaceae
Description: LSU rRNA
Rfam family: Eukaryotic large subunit ribosomal RNA
Source: RNAcentral
AUAUCAAUAAGCGGAGGAAAAGAAACCAACAGGGAUUACCUCAGUAACGGCGAGUGAAGCGGUAACAGCUCAAAUUUGAAAUCCGGCCCCUCCCCGGGCCCGAGUUGUAAUUUGCAGAAGAUGCUUUGGGUGCGGCCCCGGUCUAAGUUCCCUGGAACAGGACGUCACAGAGGGUGAGAAUCCCGUAUGCGACCGGGUGCCCGCGCCCGUGUAAAGCUCUUUCAACGAGUCGAGUUGUUUGGGAAUGCAGCUCAAAAUGGGUGGUAUAUUUCAUCUAAAGCUAAAUAUUGGCCAGAGACCGAUAGCGCACAAGUAGAGUGAUCGAAAGAUGAAAAGCACUUUGGAAAGAGAGUUAAACAGUACGUGAAAUUGUUGAAAGGGAAGCGCUUGCAACCAGACUUGCGCGCGGGGGAUCACCCGGUGUUCUCACCGGUGCACUCCGCCGCGCCCAGGCCAGCAUCGGUUUGGGUGGCUGGACAAAGGCCCUGGGAAUGUGGCUCCCUCCGGGGAGUGUUAUAGCCCUCGGUGCAAUGCAGCCUACCUGGACCGAGGACCGCGCUCCGGCUAGGAUGCUGGCGUAAUGGUUGCAAGCGACCCGUCUUGAAACACGGACCAAGGAGUCUAACAUCUAUGCGAGUGUUUGGGUGCCAAACCCACACGCGGAAUUAACGUGAACGGAGGUGAGAACCCUUCAGGGUGCAUCAUCGACCGAUCCUGAUGUCUUCGGAUGGAUUUGAGUAAGAGCAUAGCUGUUGGGACCCGAAAGAUGGUGAACUAUGCCUAAAUAGGGUGAAGCCAGAGGAAACUCUGGUGGAGGCUCGCAGCGGUUCUGACGUGCAAAUCGAUCGUCAAAUUUGGGUAUAGGGGCGAAAGACUAAUCGAACCAUCUAGUAGCUGGUCUGC